Molecule: ribosomal RNA, 324 nt
Filed under: uncultured eukaryote
Lineage: Eukaryota
Description: partial 18S ribosomal RNA
Rfam family: Eukaryotic small subunit ribosomal RNA
Source: RNAcentral
CCCUUAGAUGUUCUGGGCUGCACGCGCGCUACACUGAUGCGAUCAACAAGUUUUUCCUAUGUCGAUAGACACGGGUAAUCUUUUGAACUCGCAUCGUGAUGGGGAUAGAUUAUUGUAAUUAUUAAUCUUCAACGAGGAAUUCCUAGUAGGUGCAAAUCAUCGGUUUGCAUCGAUUACGUCCCUGCCCUUUGUACACACCGCCCGUCGCUGCUACCGAUUGGUUGAUCUGGUGAAUUAUUCGGACUGCCGGCUGAAGGGGUUUCCUCAUCUGCCAGCGGAAAGUCUUGUUAACCCUAUCAACUAGAGGAAGCAGAAGUCGUAACA